This 82-nucleotide small RNA is filed under the name Klebsiella pneumoniae. RNAcentral's name for it is "partial RtT sRNA". It matches the Rfam family "RtT RNA", at positions 1 to 80 of the family's 130-position model. From Rfam's summary of the family: This family represents a bacterial cis-regulatory element known as RtT RNA. The exact function of RtT is unknown although it is thought that it may be involved in changing the cellular response in relation to amino acid starvation. RNAcentral also lists the same sequence under 1 other name. Lineage: Bacteria; Pseudomonadati; Pseudomonadota; Gammaproteobacteria; Enterobacterales; Enterobacteriaceae. The record is from RNAcentral.
UGUUUGCACUUAGCGGGAAGGGUAAGAACCUUCGACUAAGGUUCGACUCGAGCGCCAGCGAGAGAACGUUGCCGCAGGCAAC